This 301-nucleotide ribosomal RNA is filed under the name uncultured bacterium. Its description in RNAcentral is "partial 16S ribosomal RNA". It matches the Rfam family "Bacterial small subunit ribosomal RNA", at positions 509 to 807 of the family's 1533-position model. The record is from RNAcentral.
CAGCAGCCGCGGUAAUACGGAGGGUGCAAGCGUUAAUCGGAAUUACUGGGCGUAAAGCGCACGCAGGCGGUCUGACAAGUCAGAUGUGAAAUCCCCGGGCUUAACCUGGGAACUGCAUUUGAAACUGUCAGGCUGGAGUCUUGUAGAGGGGGGUGGAAUUCCAGGUGUAGCGGUGAAAUGCGUAGAGAUCUGGGGGAAUACCGGUGGCGAAGGCGGCCCCCUGGACAAAGACUGACGCUCAGGUGCGAAAGCGUGGGGAGCAAACAGGAUUAGAUACCCCGGUAGUCCCUGUCUCUUAUAC